Molecule: ribosomal RNA, 462 nt
Filed under: uncultured bacterium
Lineage: Bacteria
Description: partial 16S ribosomal RNA
Rfam family: Bacterial small subunit ribosomal RNA
Source: RNAcentral
GAUGAACGCUGACAGAAUGCUUAACACAUGCAAGUCAUUGGCGAAGCUGCGCUUGCGCAGUCUAGCCGAGGCGGACGGGUGAGUAACGCGUAAGGAACUUGCCCUGCAGACAGGGAUAACAGACGGAAACGACUGAUAACACCUGGUAUUGUCAGGCUGGCGCAUGCCGGCCUGAUGAAAGGAGACGCUGCAGGAGAGCCUUGCGUCCUAUUAGCUAGUUGGUGGGGUAACGGCCCACCAAGGCGAUGAUAGGUAGCCGGCCUGAGAGGGUGAACGGCCACAAGGGGACUGAGAUACGGCCCUUACUCCUACGGGAGGCAGCAGUGGGGAAUAUUGGACAAUGGGGGCAACCCUGAUCCAGCAAUUCUGUGUGCACGAAGAAGGUUUUCGGAUUGUAAAGUGCUUUCAGCAGGGAAGAAGAAAGUGACGGUACCUGCAGAAGAAGCGACGGCUAAAUACGUG